UGGUGCCUCCGCAACAUGAAACCGUGAACCCGGUCAGGCCCGGAAGGGAGCAGCCGCAGCGGUGGAAUUGUGUGCCGGGGUGUCGCUG
Molecule: signal recognition particle RNA, 88 nt
Filed under: uncultured Marinobacter sp.
Lineage: Bacteria; Pseudomonadati; Pseudomonadota; Gammaproteobacteria; Pseudomonadales; Marinobacteraceae
Description: Bacterial small signal recognition particle RNA
Rfam family: Bacterial small signal recognition particle RNA
About the family: The signal recognition particle (SRP) is a universally conserved ribonucleoprotein involved in the co-translational targeting of proteins to membranes. Archaeal SRP consists of a 7S RNA and homologues of the eukaryotic SRP19 and SRP54 proteins.
Source: RNAcentral